Molecule: ribosomal RNA, 497 nt
Filed under: uncultured bacterium
Lineage: Bacteria
Description: bacterial SSU rRNA
Rfam family: Bacterial small subunit ribosomal RNA
Source: RNAcentral
GGCUCAGGAUGAACGCUAGCUACAGGCUUAACACAUGCAAGUCGCGGGGCAGCAUUUCUUUAGCUUGCUAAGGAAGAUGGCGACCGGCGCACGGGUGAGUAACGCGUAUCCAACCUUCCCUUGUCCACGGGAUAGCCCGUCGAAAGGCGGAUUAAUACCGUAUGAGGUCACAUGCUGGCAUCAAAGUGUGACGAAAGGUUUGGCGGUGAAGGAUGGGGAUGCGUCUGAUUAGCUUGUUGGUGAGGUAACGGCUCACCAAGGCGACGAUCAGUAGGGGUUCUGAGAGGAAGGUCCCCCACAUUGGAACUGAGACACGGUCCAAACUCCUACGGGAGGCAGCAGUGAGGAAUAUUGGUCAAUGGGCGAGAGCCUGAACCAGCCAAGUAGCGUGCAGGAUGACGGCCCUAUGGGUUGUAAACUGCUUUUAUAAGGGAAUAAAGUGAGUCUCGUGAGACUUUUUGCAUGUACCUUAUGAAUAAGGACCGGCUAAUUCCGUG